RNAcentral lists this ribosomal RNA (468 nucleotides) under uncultured bacterium. RNAcentral describes it as "partial 16S ribosomal RNA". It matches the Rfam family "Bacterial small subunit ribosomal RNA", at positions 28 to 507 of the family's 1533-position model. The record is from RNAcentral.
GACGAACGCUGGCGGCGUGCUUAACACAUGCAAGUCGAACGGAAAGGCCCUGCUGUUGUGGGGUGCUCGAGUGGCGAACGGGUGAGUAACACGUGAGUAACCUGCCCUUGACUUUGGGAUAACUUCAGGAAACUGGGGCUAAUACCGGAUAGGAGCUCCUGCUGCAUGGUGGGGGUUGGAAAGUUUCGGCGGUUGGGGAUGGACUCGCGGCUUAUCAGCUUGUUGGUGGGGUAGUGGCUUACCAAGGCUUUGACGGGUAGCCGGCCUGAGAGGGUGACCGGCGACAUUGGGACUGAGAUACGGACCAGACGCCUACGGGAGGCAGCAGUGGGGAAUAUUGCACAAUGGGCGGAAGCCUGAUGCAGCAACGCCGCGUGCGGGAUGACGGCCCUCGGGUUGUAAACCGCGUUCGCCUGUGACGAAGCGUGAGUGACGGUAAUGGGUAAAGAAGCACCGGCUAACUACGUG